Long non-coding RNA from Coffea eugenioides, 612 nucleotides. RefSeq lists it as uncharacterized. The transcript is spliced from 3 exons. The record is from RefSeq and is a predicted model, not a curated record. NCBI's taxonomy places the organism in Eukaryota, Viridiplantae, Streptophyta, Magnoliopsida, Gentianales, Rubiaceae.
GUUCCUUUUCCCAAACUCCCCACUCUGACUCUUCACUUUUCUAUCUCGCAUCCCUCAAAGAAGAGAAAACACUCUCCAUUUUCCUUAAACUCUCGGCCAAAUAUGGAUUCCCCAAGCUGAAAUCGAUUCAUUCUCCCCUAACUCUAAGAAUAUAUGGGUUCAUGCUGCAUCAGCUAGUCAAAAAAUUGCUGCAACAUCAUCAAGGGAUGGAUUGGCAUCUCCUACAUCUGUUGAGAUGCAAACAUAUGAGCCUCCCACUGCAGCAGGUUGUAUCUAACCAAUCCGUUGGUGGAAAUAAUACACCUAAUGAGAGCAAGGAUCUUCAUGACAAUGGAAAUGGACUUCACUGCAAAUAUGUUGCUCAUUUUAGCUUUUUGGAAGAUCAGCAGCAGGAGUUGCUAAUUGACUCAAGAACUAUAAAGAAAAUCUUAUACUUAGGAAAUGUUUUGACAGCACAUAUUUUUUUUGGGACUUGGAUUUGUUUUUGUAAAGCUACCUUGACUUAUAUGUGAAAUUUAGGCCGAAUACCACUUAUCAAACUAUUUGUAGGGUGUUGUUGAACUUCAUUAUGAUAUUCGAAUGUUUGAUAUGAUAUUUUGGCAUUUUGUAAUG